This 299-nucleotide ribosomal RNA is filed under the name Nostoc sp. ATCC 53789. RNAcentral describes it as "partial 16S ribosomal RNA". It matches the Rfam family "Bacterial small subunit ribosomal RNA", at positions 1 to 329 of the family's 1533-position model. The record is from RNAcentral. Lineage: Bacteria; Bacillati; Cyanobacteriota; Cyanophyceae; Nostocales; Nostocaceae.
AAAACGGAGAGUUUGAUCCUGGCUCAGGAUGAACGCUGGCGGUAUGCUUAACACAUGCAAGUCGAACGGUGUCUUCGGACACAGUGGCGGACGGGUGAGUAACGCGUGAGAAUCUGGCUCUAGGUCUGGGACAACCACUGGAAACGGUGGCUAAUACCGGAUGUGCCGAGAGGUGAAAGGUUAACUGCCUAGAGAUGAGCUCGCGUCUGAUUAGCUAGUUGGAAGUGUAAUGGACUCCCAAGGCGACGAUCAGUAGCUGGUCUGAGAGGACGAUCAGCCACACUGGGACUGAGACACGG